Molecule: transfer RNA, 90 nt
Filed under: candidate division WWE3 bacterium RBG_19FT_COMBO_34_6
Lineage: Bacteria; candidate division WWE3
Description: tRNA-Ser
Rfam family: tRNA
About the family: Transfer RNA (tRNA) molecules are approximately 80 nucleotides in length. Their secondary structure includes four short double-helical elements and three loops (D, anti-codon, and T loops). Further hydrogen bonds mediate the characteristic L-shaped molecular structure. tRNAs have two regions of fundamental functional importance: the anti-codon, which is responsible for specific mRNA codon recognition, and the 3' end, to which the tRNAs corresponding amino acid is attached (by aminoacyl-tRNA synthetases). tRNAs cope with the degeneracy of the genetic code in two manners: having more than one tRNA (with a specific anti-codon) for a particular amino acid; and 'wobble' base-pairing, i.e. permitting non-standard base-pairing at the 3rd anti-codon position.
Source: RNAcentral
GGAGGGGUCGCAUAGCGGCCUAGUGCGGUGGUCUUGAAAACCACUAUAUCCGCAAGGAUAUCGAGGGUUCGAAUCCCUCCCCCUCCGCCA